GACGAACGCUGGCGGCGUGCCUAAUACAUGCAAGUAGGACGCACAGUUUAUACCGUAGCUUGCUACACCAUAGACUGUGAGUUGCGAACGGGUGAGUAACGCGUAGGUAACCUGCCUAUUAGAGGGGGAUAACUAUUGGAAACGAUAGCUAAUACCGCAUAACAGUAUGUAACACAUGUUAGAUGCUUGAAAGAUGCAAUUGCAUCGCUAGUAGAUGGACCUGCGUUGUAUUAGCUAGUAGGUAGGGUAAUGGCCUACCUAGGCGACGAUACAUAGCCGACCUGAGAGGGUGAUCGGCCACACUGGGACUGAGACACGGCCCAGACUCCUACGGGAGGCAGCAGUAGGGAAUCUUCGGCAAUGGGGGGAACCCUGACCGAGCAACGCCGCGUGAGUGAAGAAGGUUUUCGGAUCGUAAAGCUCUGUUGUUAAGGAAGAACGAGUGUAAGAAUGGAAAGUUCAUAACUGUGACGGA
RNAcentral lists this ribosomal RNA (475 nucleotides) under Streptococcus anginosus. Its description in RNAcentral is "bacterial SSU rRNA". It matches the Rfam family "Bacterial small subunit ribosomal RNA", at positions 28 to 476 of the family's 1533-position model. The record is from RNAcentral. Lineage: Bacteria; Bacillati; Bacillota; Bacilli; Lactobacillales; Streptococcaceae.